RNAcentral lists this ribosomal RNA (253 nucleotides) under uncultured bacterium. Its description in RNAcentral is "partial 16S ribosomal RNA". It matches the Rfam family "Bacterial small subunit ribosomal RNA", at positions 524 to 776 of the family's 1533-position model. The record is from RNAcentral.
UACGUAGGGUGCGAGCGUUAAUCGGAAUUACUGGGCGUAAAGCGUGCGCAGGCGGUUUUGUAAGCCAGAUGUGAAAUCCCCGGGCUUAACCUGGGAAUGGCAUUUGGGACUGCAAGGCUCGAGUGCGGCAGAGGAGACUGGAAUUCCUGGUGUAGCAGUGAAAUGCGUAGAUAUGCGGAGGAACACCGAUGGCGAAGGCAAUCCCCUGGGCCUGCACUGACGCUCAUGCACGAAAGCGUGGGGAGCAAACAGG